This 72-nucleotide transfer RNA is filed under the name Callorhinchus milii (elephant shark). RNAcentral describes it as "tRNA-Asp (GTC) (tRNA-Asp-GTC-22-1)". It matches the Rfam family "tRNA". Rfam says of the family: Transfer RNA (tRNA) molecules are approximately 80 nucleotides in length. The record is from Rfam by way of RNAcentral. Lineage: Eukaryota; Metazoa; Chordata; Chondrichthyes; Chimaeriformes; Callorhinchidae.
AGUCCUGUAGCUCAGUGGUUAGAGCGCUCACCUGUCAAGCGAGAGACCUGGGUUCGAUUCCCGGCAAGACGA